UUUUUUUGUUACGUUUCAAAAGUCGAACUGGCAACGGUAGCCCCAGUCUUACUUUUUUUUCAGUUCUGCUAGAGUCUCCAUGCUUUUAACAAGUGUCUGCAUUUCGUCAUUAAAAAUCUAAAGAAAAUCUCGAGCCUUUACCUGCAGAAAAAUUCCCUGCAUAGGUAUAGUAUUUGAAAUUACAAGUCUACCUCACAGUAAAUUUACCUCUUGUGUUCUUCAGUCGUUUGUUACCUACAACAUGGAUUCAUCAGCUAAAAAUGAACAGAUUUUACAGUAUGUUUUCAGAAAAUGAACUUCGUUUAGCAGCCAUUUGCAACCCAAUUAUUUUGGCUUGAUAAUGAUGACGAGAUUUGUCGUGGAAAAACAUUGCUAAAAGGAGAAUUUAAACGUUUCCAGGGCAUCCUGGACAAGUCUGACACAUCGGAAAAAUCGAGUUACGGAACGUCCUCGAGCGAGAGUCCUCAGAAAAUAAAGAAAUGUGAAAAGAAUUUUUUUUCCUUUAUUUCCAAAAGAAACGUUAAAUCUCAGACACAUGAUGAAGUAGAUUUGUUUUUGAAACUAUGUACAAACUUGGAGCAGUUGAUGAAUUUUGAACCAUUAAAAAAUUUUACAAGUAAGUAAAUUACUUUGUUAACGACAUUACCAGUUAUGUGUAUUUGACAACUGCAGAAGAUACAACGUCACCUUAUCAUCGUCAGCAGCUGUUGAGUGGCUCUUUAGCCAAGGAGGACUUAUUUUUACCCCAAGAAGAUUGAGCCUAACUGACAGCAACUUUGAAAUGUUACAAUUUUUUUAAUUCAACGGUACUCUAUGUAACCAAUGGUAACAAAACGUAACUUUUUUAUUAACAAUUGACCAACUGUGAUUUAACAACUGUGCUUAUGACACAAUUAUUUAACUCAUAAUUGACGGCA
RNAcentral lists this unclassified non-coding RNA (917 nucleotides) under Daphnia magna. RNAcentral describes it as "uncharacterized LOC116918704, transcript variant X2". Lineage: Eukaryota; Metazoa; Arthropoda; Branchiopoda; Diplostraca; Daphniidae. The record is from RNAcentral.